This 2351-nucleotide long non-coding RNA is filed under the name Mus musculus (house mouse). Its description in RNAcentral is "long non-coding RNA chr3:141472338-141474689". Lineage: Eukaryota; Metazoa; Chordata; Mammalia; Rodentia; Muridae. The record is from RNAcentral.
AUAGGAGGGUUUACCUUCAUUAAUCACUGUGUCAUGUGGCUCCCGUGACUCGUUUCAUUUCUCAGCAAAUCUGAGAGCAGUAAGAAGCCUUGUAAGAUGAACACAUGCUAUCUUUUGGUCCAGAUACAGAUGCUAAACAGAAACUCCUUCAUGACAUUUAACAAGUUUGUUGGUGAUUGCUAACAUUUCCCAUACAUAGUCAAUGUCUUAGUUGCGGGCUACUUAAACUUACCUAUAUUUUAUUGUGUUCUAUUUUUCCCUAUUGAAAAGAAAAUCCUUAUAUAGGAAAGUUUAUUUUAAAUAUAAAAAAUAGGUUAGUGCUUACAUAACAAAAUGCAUUUGUAAUCCACUUGAGUUAUCAAGUAUAUCCAAAAGGAUAAAUGCAGACUUUCUUCCUUCCAACUCAUGGAAACUAAGGUGAAUAUAGAAAUUACAAAAGUAUAAAAAGAGUAGUGUAAAAAUUUGGAAACAUAUACUUUGUGAAGAAAUUUUUUUUCAUGUAAAGUUAAUUAAUAAGAUACAUUCACGUAGACAGGAGAAGUUUUGGGCAAUACAUUAGGCUACAUGAUAUAAAAAAAAUUUCUAAUCUUUGACAAAUAAAAGUCAAGUGUAAGAUUAAAAUUAGAGGAAGGAGCGUUGGGCAAUCUCUUUUCUGUACAUUUACAAGUUAGAUAGUUGUACUUAAAUAUUCUAAAUCACUAUGCUAUCUUUUUUGGAAUAACAAGAACUGCAAGAGUCCUUUGAAGAACUCCUUUGAAACAUAAGCAGAUGGUCAGUCGCCUUGACAGAUGCUAAAAGCGAUAGUCAGUGGCCGUAGUAGUGUUACUGUUCUGUGGCUUUGGAGCUAUCUCUAAUCUAAGCCAAACAACCCCCAAAUUCCUAAGCCAACAACAACAACAAAACAAACAGAAACCUUGAAAACAGGAAAGAGACAGUUACCAGACUAAGUUCUGGUAAGUGGACUUUGAAGAUUAUGGGCAUUCCAUAUAUGUUUACUCUGUUUGGCUUUUGGUCAAAAGAAAAGUGGUAUGUUGCAUCCCCUUUGAGUAGAGACUGCGAAAUGUACACAUUGUGGCCACCCAGUGGAAGGACUCGAGUUUAGCAAGUAGCAAUGCUGAAAUCAUCCUAAAUAAAACAGUAAUUAUGUUGCCUCUCAUUUUCCUUGGCAAUUUUAAUUCGUCAUUCAGGAUCUCUAUAAGAUGAUGCGAGGCUGGAACUUAAAAUUGGCCUAGGGAUUCAACCCAAAGAUGACGGAAGCUGGCACUUGCUCCUUACACACGGGGUCUUCACCCUAGAAAACAGAAACCCAUUUCUCUGAUUGCUUUCAGGUGUGGAGGAGAACAUGGAGGGUUGUUGUUGUUCUUCUUCUUAUUGUUGUUGUUAUUGUUGUUGUUUAUGAUUCAUUAUGAGUUCCAUCUGUAAUAGAGACCUAAGAUUGGUUUCUCAUCAUAAUAUUGAAGCAUAUGGCAUACAACUUCUAUAUAAAUCAUGCUUUAGUUUCUUACUCCAGCUGACAUAGGGAAAGGAUUUCCAGAGUAUUUUCAAAGGCUGUGUUGUUUAACAGGUUAGAGUUUCUUAGGUACCUAUUUGGGGAGGACAUGCUCCACUGGGAACUAGAUGAGUGCUAUGCAGAGACCCACCAGUGAUCUUUAGGAACUGCACUACUCAGUCUUGAACGGCCUUGUUACACAUUGCCCUCGAAAACAAUACCCUGUUGUUUCCUAAGGCUCACCUGCUUGGAAGAAAUCUGAGAGCAUUAUGUUCAAAUUAUAUAGGAAUUCUUGGGGACAAUUGUCCUGAGAAAGAUAAUUUGCUUAAGUGGAGCUGACUUAAUAGAAUUUUAGUGCAUUGAGGGAAUGUCAUCACUGUCUGCCUCUCCAGGUAGAUUGCCUGAACUAAAUGUUUAUUUCUAUAUCACUACAAAGCAUACAUGUAUCUAUCUAUAAAUAAAUGAAAAGGACUGUGGUUAAACAGCUGCCAUUUACUUGCAAUAACAUGAUUAGGAAAAGUAGAAAGAUGGCUGUGAAGAGUUUGAUCUGCUGCAGUGCCCUUCCCAGUUGCAAGGAGGGGUACUUUAUUAAAUUUAUUAUAAAUAAAAAAUGAAAGGCUUGCAUGUUAUUUUUAUUGAAUUAAGUAAGUAAGUUUUCUAGAAUAUUUUGCACAGAAGUUUUAACACAGUAAAUACUUAUACAAAGUAAACAAAUACAGUUUGAUAAUUUCCUAUUAAUGUGUGUGUGUGUGUGUGUGUGUGUGUGUGUGUGUGACAAUAUGAAUAUGUGAUGUGCAUAGGUAGCAUGCUUUGAUGUUUUAGAAGGGAACAUUUAUUUUCAAACAGACUUGCCACUUACCCU